Molecule: long non-coding RNA, 1984 nt
Filed under: Homo sapiens (human)
Lineage: Eukaryota; Metazoa; Chordata; Mammalia; Primates; Hominidae
Description: long non-coding RNA NONHSAT126249.2
Source: RNAcentral
GCCUCGAGACACAACAACAAGUUGUUUGUCCCACAUCAUGCUGGGGUGGCUGGGAGGGGAUAGGGUGAGACAGGGAGCAGCCACUCCACUGAAGACCAGGCCAUGCAGAGGGGAUGAGAAGGGCAGCGUUACCUCCCGAGAGGCUACUCCAAGGAGAGCGGCUCGGGGUCACUGUUUCCCCCUUUUCAGGCUGGCCCGCUUCACUAUCUGCGCCCCCUUCCUGCCCUCUAUCAGGUCCGGCUGUAGGCCACUCCCUCUCAGCUCCACCUGCAGACAGCAGCAGAGACAGAAAGCAGGACAGAUCGCAAAGACGGGCAGAACACAGGCAGAAGAUCGAAAGGAGGCCACACGGAGGUGGCAGACACACUGCCCACCAGGGAGAAGAGAGACUGGAGAGAGAGCUCAUAAAGAGCACUUUGCAGUAUAGAAAAGCCCUUCGACAGGCAGCAUCACCCAGAAUGUGACUUGCUUGAAACCCCAGAGCCAGUUGGUGACAGAAACAGGACGAUCCGGGUGCAAUCCCAUGGUGGCUCACGCCUGCUAUCCCAGCACUUUGGGAGGCCAAGGCCGGAGGACCACUUGAGCCCAGGAGUUCAAGACCAAUUUGGGCAACAUAGCGAGCCCCCAUCUCUACAAAAAUUUUUUUAAAAUAGCCAGGCAUGGUGGUGUGUGCCUGUAGUACCAGCUACUCAGAAGGCUGAGGCAGGAGGAUCACUUGAGCCCAGGAAUUUACAGUAAGCCCAGGUUACAGUGAGCCAUGAGCAUGCCACUGCACUCCAGCCUGGACUAAACAGCAAGACUUCAUCUCUAAAAACAAAAGAAAAAAGAGAAGAGAAGAGAGAGAAAGAAGAAAGAAACAAAGAAAGAAACAGGAUGAGCGCAGCCUCCCGAGACCCAAAGCUGAGUGUUUAAUGUCACUGUCACAAUGCACUGGGCACCAGAGGGCAGGUUCUGGUGGGCGCACACACACUCUGGCUCCCAGGGUGGAACAUGAUCCCUGGGGGCCUCCUGGUCCUUUUCCUCCGGCGUCUCCCAACUCUGGGUCCGGAGCUCCCCACAGCAGCGUCCCCUCAGCCCCGGCCUCCGGCGCCCACACCACCAGCCCUGCCGGCCUCCUGCCAGGCGGUUACCUUCAGGAAGACCCGCCGCCGGACCACCCUGGUGGAGAUGGUCUCCUCGUCGUCACUGAGGCCCUCGCUCUCCCCCAGCUCCUUGUCCAGCUCCUGGUGGAUGUGCUUUAGCACAAAGCACAGGGACCCCCUGACAAUGUGCAUCACGUUCUGACAGCUGACCAGGAAGAAGCUCAGCAGCACCAGCGUGACCAACAGCUGGGUGACGAAAGUCCACAUCCUCGCCUCCUCACCAGCCCGGUCCUCUGGCAGCCAGGGCCCCGGCCACCACGGGGGGCCUGCCUCUCAUUCUCCACUGGGACUCCUGAGUCCCCCAGGGACCCCUUGCAUUCCCCCUCCCUAUCUCUCUGGUUUGCUCUCUUGGUCUCUCACUGUUUCUCUCUCUGUGGGCAGGACACCGAAUGGCCCUCUCGGCUGAAGCAGCCCGGCCCAAGUGCCCUUCUGCCCAGCAGCCAGGCUCUGCCCUGAGUGGCCCGGGUGACAUCACGCUCCUAUAAUUUUACCUCCCCAAACCAGCUGCCGGAGCUGUCCAACCGGGCUAGAAGGAAGCCGGCAGGUGCCCAUGUCCUGAGCACUGAAAGCACAAGUGAAAGUCACUGUGUGAGUGACACCCGCUGCUGCCUAACCCCGCCCUGCCCAGAGACCUGGAAGUGGGGGCUCGGCCUCUCACCUAUCCUGCCCAUCCCCAUGGGAACUAGAAAGAGUUCUGCCCAGGGAAAGUUUCUUACUUUCAGAAAAUAAUACAGUCCGAGAAAGCAGCUACUUGUGUGUCUCCUUGGGCUGCUACUGCGGUGAUCCAAAUGCUGUUCCCCGGCAUGGUAGGGAUGAGACCAGCUAAUACCCUGGGUACUUAG